GAAAUGCGAUACGUAGUGUGAAUUGCAGAAUUCAGUGAAUCAUCGAGGUCUUGAACGCAAAUUGCGCCUGCAGGCCCUCCUGCAGGCACGCCUGUCUGAGCGUCGCCCACACCAUCACCCCCUCCACGAGUGGGUGGAAUUGGAGGUCUGUUCCACGGUGGACAGUCCUCUCAAAGGUAGAGAUGCCGACCAGGGAGCCACCUCAGUGGACACGGCUCACCGGUCUGGAGUGCGGGUAGCGCGCCGAAGCGUGACGAGCAUUCCCUGGCGAGUCGACCGCAGGAGGUCGGUCGACCUGGACGGCACACGGAGGGAGGACGAGAUCCGAAUCCUCACAUACACGACGACCUCAGAUCAGGCGGGGCUACCCGCUGAAUUUAA
RNAcentral lists this unclassified non-coding RNA (381 nucleotides) under uncultured fungus. Its description in RNAcentral is "sequence contains ITS1". The stretch from base 1 to 105 matches the Rfam family "5.8S ribosomal RNA", at positions 50 to 154 of the family's 154-position model. The record is from RNAcentral. Lineage: Eukaryota; Fungi.